Molecule: long non-coding RNA, 1318 nt
Filed under: Sus scrofa (pig)
Lineage: Eukaryota; Metazoa; Chordata; Mammalia; Artiodactyla; Suidae
Description: lncRNA (ENSSSCG00070020579.1)
Source: RNAcentral
AUGGUCCUUGUAGAUGAGGUAACUGAUGAAAAUGAUACUUAUACAGAAAUUAUCACUCCAGUGACGAACAAUCAGGAUGAAGAAGAAGAUUGCAUAGGAUGCUGCUUCCGGAUCCAAAGGAACAAUCGACAGACGUCACAAAGAUCCACCUCUGGCUGCAUCAGAAAAUUAUGCUCCUGGCGCCACCAGCGAGUGCACCCCGCUAAUGGGUCGGGGACAGAAGAAACCCCGGGCUCCCAUGAAAGGCUGCCCAGCACCGCAGGAGGAAUAGAGGCUCCAAGUGGCUGCACAGUAAGUGCCUUGUCUUAUCUGAGAUAAAAGCAUAACUUCAUUUCUCAAUCCUUUCUCUCUCUCUCUCUCUCUCUCUCUCUCUCUGUCUCUCUCUCUCUCUGUCUCCCUCUCUCUCUCUGGUUUUGGUUUUGGUUUUGGUUUUUAAUGGCUGCACCUGCUGCACAUGGAGUUUCCCAGGCUAGGGGUCUAAUCAGAACUACAGCUGCCGGCAUAUACCACAGCCACAGCAAGUCACGAUGUGAGCCGAGUCGGUGACCUACAGCACAGCGCAUGGCAACACCAGAUCCUUAACCCACUGAGCGAGUCCAGGGAUCAAACCUGCAGCCUCAUGCUUUCUAGUCAGUUUUGGUUCCGCCGUGCCACAACGGGAACUCCAAUUUCCUCCUUUUGUCUGUCAGUUUCAACUAUGCAAGUCUACACUGUUCAAAUCAGUGGAGACCUACAUUUUUCCUGGGUUGGACGAGUGUUGACGGAAUGUCUCUCCCAAUGCAUGACUGAUUGAAAAAUUGACAGCAGCCUCUAGAAACUGGAAGUGCGGCUAGAAACUGGAGUGCGGCUGAGAGCAAUGUUACCAGCAGAGAGAAUUUGGUGGGUUUUGGUCAAAGUAACACAUAAGAAUUCCUACAGGAAGAUUUGAAGCCUUUGUCCAGGAUGACCUCUGUGUUUUCUUUGGGACCGUGGACUCGAGGAGUGUUUCCCUUUUGGGUUUGCUGGGCAGAAAGACCAUGAAAAUUCUCAUGUCCAUAGAAGCUUUAGAUUCUCACACUGUUUUCUUGCACUAGAUGCCGGCCGAUGACGCAACUAAUAAUAAUGGCAUGGCUUUGGAGCGCCCCACUCCAGUGACAAACAAUCGGGGUGAAGAAGAGGUGGGUCUUCCUUGCGGGCAUUGGUUGGAGAGCAGCCAGAUCCUGGGUUCCUUUUGGAAAGGGGGUAGUCUGGGAUGUGGAGCAGGCAGCUCUUUCCCAGUCAUAGUGAUGCCCUGGUGGCACCUGCCCUGGACACAAGUCUCUUGUUGAUUCCUUGGGUU